Molecule: microRNA precursor, 136 nt
Filed under: Chlorocebus sabaeus (green monkey)
Lineage: Eukaryota; Metazoa; Chordata; Mammalia; Primates; Cercopithecidae
Description: miRNA (ENSCSAG00000022345.1)
Rfam family: mir-548 microRNA precursor family (bases 14-97)
Source: RNAcentral
AAUUUUGGAGUAAUAUUAGGUUGGUGCAAAAGUAAUUGAGGUUUUUGCCAUUGAAAAUAAUGGCAAAAACCUCAAUUACUUUUGCACCAACCCGAUACCUUAUUUUGCAGAUGAAAAAACUUAGGGCCAGAGAGAU